This 390-nucleotide long non-coding RNA is filed under the name Mytilus galloprovincialis (Mediterranean mussel). Lineage: Eukaryota; Metazoa; Mollusca; Bivalvia; Mytilida; Mytilidae. The record is from RNAcentral.
CAAAGUUUUUAUUCCUGUUCUUAACAUGCUUAAUUUUAAUAGUUGCUGGAGGGUCUUCGACAAUAAAAUAAUCAUGAUUAAUACCGUAAAACAAGGUCAAGAUGGUCCUUAGGGUCGACUUUUGCAGGACUAGUACUUAAAGUAUAAUACUGCACUGUCAGUGUAAACGUAUAAGCACAAUACAGGACAAGAACAGACAGACAGACAGAUCUAGUUUAAAUGAUUAUGAGAAUUACGAUUUUUGCUUAUAUACAUCGGUCUACUUUAAAGUUUUCCCCGUAAAACCUAUAGUCUUAAAUUACAAUGAAUCUAUGUUUUUGCUUUGAGACCAGAAUAUUGUCGAAAAACAUAGCUAAAAAUUAAUUGCUUUUCAAAGUAAGAAAGAGUCCG